AAUAUUCUUGUUGUACACAUCUGUGCAUAUAAGGGUGUCCAUCGGCGCCCUCCUAUUGGAGUGCGUUCCUGUUAGCAACCUCCAUCUCCCAAUUAGUUGGUUAUAUCCACAAUAGACUUGAAUUUAGUAAUAUAUGCUUUUCUAUUGUCACAAUGUUUUCCCUAUCUAAGAUUUGAAACUUCUUUCAACCUUCAAUUAUGCAUAAUGAUGCAUUGCUAUUUAAUACUGCUUUCUCAUUUAUGGGAAACUCUCUUCAAACAUACAGUCAAUCAUUCAAAUGAUACUAAAAACCCUCAAUUACAUUUUGAAUCAGAAAAUAUCUUAUGUCCAUCAAAAGAAAUGCAACAAUCAAAAGAAUUCCUUGGCAGUUGCAUUUACUAAGUCUCUUUCAAUUACAAAGCAGUAUUCUAAUGAGAGAAUAUGGAGAGCUAAAACAGAAGAUCAAUAGGGAAGGUCGCCUUCAGGAAGACAGGAAGAUCCCAGAUAUCUUCCUCCUCUUUCUUCUUGUUCCCGGGCAUCUCUUGUCCAUCCUGACUGGAGUUUCUUGAUUGAGGGCGUCAGUGUUAAAAGUAGUAUUAUCAGUGAAUUACUUUAUCAAGGUAUACGACUACGAUAGCUUUCUAAUAUAUCUAUUUGCAGUCAUUCAGCAAAUAAAACUUCAACAAGGCUAAUCAAAUAGUUAUUCAUUCCUCCAAUACAUUCCAAUCUACCUCAAGGGUCUUAAAAUGUAGAGAAAACUCAAGCAAACAUGUUUACUUAUUGGAUUACAAAGUUAUGAUUCAACAGCAGCAACACAAACAAACGGGCCUUGGGAUGUCCGAUAUGAAGCAAAAUGGAGAUCCUUUGCAGAGGAAGGGGUAGUCGCAACAGAUUGGAUGGCUAUGCUGGUUGUCUUGAAAAAUUCUAGAGCAAGCUGAUUUGAAGGAGACGGAGAAAUUAUGGGCAUCCUCAAGUCAGACAAGUUGGGCGUAUCGAACAUAAGGAUUCACAAAGCAUAGAGUAAAGGAAUUUAUGGGGCGGGUGUGUGGAUUUCCUUUCUUAUUUUUUAAUCCAUUACUUGAAAGAUAAUACAGUUAUUGGUUUGUUGAAUCUUUGUAAUGGUAGUACCACUACCCAAGUUUACAUUUUUAUGAGAAAAAUCUCACUUCCCAA
This 1152-nucleotide long non-coding RNA is filed under the name Olea europaea subsp. europaea. Lineage: Eukaryota; Viridiplantae; Streptophyta; Magnoliopsida; Lamiales; Oleaceae. The record is from RNAcentral.